GAUGAACGCUGGCGGCGUGCUUAACACAUGCAAGUCGAACGGAAAGGCCCUGCUUUUGUGGGGUGCUCGAGUGGCGAACGGGUGAGUAACACGUGAGUAACCUGCCCUUGACUUUGGGAUAACUUCAGGAAACUGGGGCUAAUACCGGAUAGGAGCUCCUGCUGCAUGGUGGGGGUUGGAAAGUUUCGGCGGGUGGGGAUGGACUCGCGGCUUAUCAGCUUGUUGGUGGGGUAGUGGCUUACCAAGGCUUUGACGGGUAGCCGGCCUGAGAGGGUGACCGGCCACAUUGGGACUGAGAUACGGCCCAGACUCCUACGGGAGGCAGCAGUGGGGAAUAUUGCACAAUGGGCGGAAGCCUGAUGCAGCAACGCCGCGUGCGGGAUGACGGCCUUCGGGUUGUAAACCGCUUUCGCCUGUGACGAAGCGUGAGUGACGGUAAUGGGUAAAGAAGCACCGGCUAACUACGUG
Molecule: ribosomal RNA, 468 nt
Filed under: uncultured bacterium
Lineage: Bacteria
Description: partial 16S ribosomal RNA
Rfam family: Bacterial small subunit ribosomal RNA
Source: RNAcentral